CGCAGCCGCGGUAAUUCCAGCUCCAAUAGCGUAUAUUAAAGUUGUUGCAGUUAAAAAGCUCGUAGUUGAAUUUCGGGAUCAGUUCGUUGGUCGUGCCUUUGGUAUGUACUGGUGUUACUGGUUCCUCCCUUCUGACGAACCGUCAUGUCAUUAAUUUGGUGUGGCGGGGAAUCAGGACUGUUACUUUGAAAAAUUAGAGUGUUUAAAGCAGGCUCGCGCUUGAAUACAUUAGCAUGGAAUAAUGAAAUAGGACGUUCGAUCCUAUUUUGUUGGUUUCUAGGAUUGACGUAAUGAUUAAUAGGGAUAGUUGGGGGCAUUAGUAUUCAAUUGUCAGAGGUGAAAUUCUUGGAUUUAUUGAAGACUAACUACUGCGAAAGCAUUUGCCAAGGAUGUUUUCAUUAAUCAAGAACGAAAGUUAGGGGAUCGAAGACGAUCAGAUACCGUCGUAGUCUUAACCAUAAACUAUGCCGACUAGGGAUCGGAUGAUGUUAAUUUUUAAUGUACUCAUUCGGCGCCUUAC
Molecule: ribosomal RNA, 520 nt
Filed under: uncultured Glomus
Lineage: Eukaryota; Fungi; Glomeromycota; Glomeromycetes; Glomerales; Glomeraceae
Description: SSU rRNA
Rfam family: Eukaryotic small subunit ribosomal RNA
Source: RNAcentral